Molecule: transfer RNA, 85 nt
Filed under: Paremcibacter congregatus
Lineage: Bacteria; Pseudomonadati; Pseudomonadota; Alphaproteobacteria; Emcibacterales; Emcibacteraceae
Description: Emcibacter congregatus tRNA-Leu
Rfam family: tRNA
About the family: Transfer RNA (tRNA) molecules are approximately 80 nucleotides in length. Their secondary structure includes four short double-helical elements and three loops (D, anti-codon, and T loops).
Source: RNAcentral
GCGGGCGUGGUGGAAUUGGUAGACACGCAGGAUUCAAAAUCCUGUUUCUUCGGAAGUGAGAGUUCGAUUCUCUCCGCCCGCACCA